GUCCACGCCGUAACGUUGGAACUAGGUGUGGGCCUCAUUCCACGAGGUCUGUGCCGCAGCUAACGCAUUAAGUUCCCGCCUGGGAGUACGGCCGCAAGGCUAAACUCAAAGGAAUUGACGGGCCCGCACAAGCGGCGGAGCAUGUGGAUUAAUUCGAUGCAACGCGAAGAACCUUACCAAGGCUUGACAUAUACCGGAAACACCCAGAGAUGGGUGCCCCGCAAGGUCGGUAUACAGGUGGUGCAUGGUUGUCGU
RNAcentral lists this ribosomal RNA (255 nucleotides) under uncultured bacterium. RNAcentral's name for it is "partial 16S ribosomal RNA". It matches the Rfam family "Bacterial small subunit ribosomal RNA", at positions 793 to 1055 of the family's 1533-position model. The record is from RNAcentral.